RNAcentral lists this ribosomal RNA (421 nucleotides) under bacterium. Its description in RNAcentral is "partial 16S ribosomal RNA". It matches the Rfam family "Bacterial small subunit ribosomal RNA", at positions 355 to 777 of the family's 1533-position model. The record is from RNAcentral.
UGGGGGAUAUUGCACAAUGGGCGAAAGCCUGAUGCAGCGACGCCGCGUGGGGGAUGAAGGCUUUCGGGUUGUAAACCUCUUUCGCUAUCGAACAAGGCCCGCUUAGGGUGGGUUGAGGGUAGGUGGAGAAGAAGCGCCGGCUAACUACGUGCCAGCAGCCGCGGUAAUACGUAGGGCGCGAGCGUUGUCCGGAAUUAUUGGGCGUAAAGGGCUUGUAGGCGGCUUGUUGCGCCUGCUGUGAAAACGCGGGGCUUAACUUCGCGCGUGCAGGGGGUACGGGCAGGCUUGAGUGUGGUAGGGGUGACUGGAAUUCCAGGUGUAGCGGUGGAAUGCGCAGAUAUCUGGGGGAACACCGAUGGCGAAGGCAGGUCACUGGGCCAUUACUGACGCUGAGGAGCGAAAGCAUGGGUAGCGAACAGGA